RNAcentral lists this non-coding RNA (45 nucleotides) under Schistosoma margrebowiei. The record is from RNAcentral. Lineage: Eukaryota; Metazoa; Platyhelminthes; Trematoda; Strigeidida; Schistosomatidae.
AUGCAGCUGACGAGCUCCAUAUAGGACGAAACGCGUGUCCUGGAU